RNAcentral lists this microRNA precursor (140 nucleotides) under Gossypium raimondii (Peruvian cotton). RNAcentral describes it as "miR8694a stem-loop (gra-MIR8694a)". Lineage: Eukaryota; Viridiplantae; Streptophyta; Magnoliopsida; Malvales; Malvaceae. The record is from miRBase by way of RNAcentral.
UGCACCAAGCAGGAUGCACUGUCAGCAAAAGUAUUGAAAGCGUGUCUAGGUGGAAGCACCUUCAGUUGACAUGGCACUGAAAACGCUUCCAGACGGAUGCGCUUUUAGUACUUUUGCUGAUGUGCGUCCUGUUUGGAGUG